CCUUCCUACCCAAAGCAUUCUAUAAUUCUGUGAUUCUAACUUAACUUUCCUUUUUUUUUUAACUACCUCAGUUGCAAGAUGACUUGGAGGUGCAAAGCCACAAGCUGUUGUAUGUUUUUCUGCCUAAUUUGAACACAAGUCAGGAUGGACAGCAGUCAUGCCUGAAACCCUCCCUCCUACUCAAAAGCCAGAUGUGAACCGUGGACAAAAGGGGCUGAGAAUGGGCAAGUAUUCUGAGAAGUCUGAGAUGAGGUGUUUGCCAGUUGUCCUCUAA
RNAcentral lists this long non-coding RNA (274 nucleotides) under Junco hyemalis (dark-eyed junco). RNAcentral's name for it is "lncRNA (ENSJHYG00000018161.1)". Lineage: Eukaryota; Metazoa; Chordata; Aves; Passeriformes; Passerellidae. The record is from RNAcentral.